RNAcentral lists this ribosomal RNA (810 nucleotides) under uncultured bacterium. RNAcentral describes it as "bacterial SSU rRNA". It matches the Rfam family "Bacterial small subunit ribosomal RNA", at positions 8 to 796 of the family's 1533-position model. The record is from RNAcentral.
AGAGUUUGAUCCUGGCUCAGAACGAACGCUGGCGGCGUGGAUAAGACAUGCAAGUCGAACGGGAAUUCUUUUGGUAGCAAUACCGAGAGAAUUCUAGUGGCGAACGGGUGCGUAACACGUGGGCAAUCUACCGAGAAGUGGGGGAUAGCUCGCCGAAAGGCGAAUUAAUACCGCAUGUGAUCAGGGAAGACAUCUUUCCGAAAUCAAAGGUGGCGCAAGCUACCGCUUUUUGAGGGGCCCGCGGCCUAUCAGCUUGUUGGUGAGGUAACGGCUCACCAAGGCUAUGACGGGUAGCUGGUCUGAGAGGACGACCAGUCACACUGGAACUGAGACACGGUCCAGACACCUACGGGUGGCAGCAGUCGAGAAUUUUUCUCAAUGGGGGCAACCCUGAAGGAGCGACGCCGCGUGGAGGAUGAAGGCUUUCGGGUUGUAAACUCCUGUCAUUUGAGAACAAGUUGGACGCAGUAACUACGCGUCCAUUGAUAGUAUCAGAAGAGGAAGGGACGGCUAACUCUGUGCCAGCAGCCGCGGUAAUACAGAGGUCCCAAGCGUUGUUCGGAUUCAUUGGGCGUAAAGGGUGCGUAGGUGGCGCCGUAAGUGGGGUGUGAAAUCCCGAGGCUUAACCUCGGGACUGCAUUCCAUACUGCGGUGCUUGAGGACUGGAGAGGAGACUGGAAUUUACGGUGUAGCAGUGAAAUGCGUAGAGAUCGUAAGGAAGACCAGUGGCGAAGGCGGGUCUCUGGACAGUUCCUGACACUGAGGCACGAAGGCCAGGGGAGCAAACGGGAUUAGAUACCCUAGUAGUCC